GGGGGUGUAGCUCAGUCCGGCAGAGCGCUUCCGUCGCAUGGAAGAGGCCACGGGUUCGAAUCCCGUCACCUCCA
RNAcentral lists this transfer RNA (74 nucleotides) under Acidimicrobiia bacterium. RNAcentral describes it as "tRNA-Ala". It matches the Rfam family "tRNA". Rfam says of the family: Transfer RNA (tRNA) molecules are approximately 80 nucleotides in length. Lineage: Bacteria; Bacillati; Actinomycetota; Acidimicrobiia. The record is from RNAcentral.